UACGUAGGUGGCAAGCGUUGUCCGGAUUUACUGGGCGUAAAGAGCGUGUAGGUGGUUUCGUAAGUCUGGCGUGAAAUUUUUCGGCUUAACCGGGAAAGGUCGUCGGAUACUGCGGAGCUAGAGGACGGUAGAGGCGUGUGGAAUUCCGGGUGUAGUGGUGAAAUGCGUAGAGAUCCGGAGGAACACCAGUGGCGAAGGCGACACGCUGGGCCGUACCUGACACUGAUGCGCGACAGCAUGGGGAGCAAACAGG
Molecule: ribosomal RNA, 253 nt
Filed under: uncultured bacterium
Lineage: Bacteria
Description: partial 16S ribosomal RNA
Rfam family: Bacterial small subunit ribosomal RNA
Source: RNAcentral